UACAGAGGGUGCGUUCGUUAAUCGGAAUUACUCGGCGUAAAGCGCACGUAGGUGGCGACGUAAGUCAGGUGUGAAAGCCCCGGGCUCAACCUGGGAAUUGCAUUCGAGACUGCAUUGCUGGAGUACGGAAGAGGAGGGCGGAAUUCCCGGUGUAGCGGUGAAAUGCGUAGAUAUUGGGAGGAACAUCAGUGGCGAAGGCGGCCCUCUGGUCCAGUACUGACACUCAAGUGCGAAAGCGUGGGGAGCAAACAGG
Molecule: ribosomal RNA, 253 nt
Filed under: uncultured bacterium
Lineage: Bacteria
Description: partial 16S ribosomal RNA
Rfam family: Bacterial small subunit ribosomal RNA
Source: RNAcentral